CAACUUGGAAAGGAAUCCAAGCUGCAGAGGAGAACACAGUUCCCUGACACCUCGACUGUGGUGGUGGCCCUGUGAGAUUCCGGGUAGAGGACCCAGAUUUAAAGCACAAUCCAUAUUCUGGAAACUUGCAAACCUCUGCUACUGAGAGAGAACAAUUCUCUGCCCUUGGAUGGAGAAGGUCUUCUUGGAUAAAGGUUCUAUGAUGAUCCUCUUUUCAAAAGGUGGAGCCUAAUUUCUCUCCUCUUGAACAUGAGCUGGACUUAGUGAUGCACUUCUAAUGAAUAAAAUGUGGCGGAAGUAAUGGGGUAUGACUUCCAGGACAAAGUCCUAAAAGGCAUUGUGGAUUCCUCCUUGCUUUCUUUUGGAUCCUUUAUCCUGGAGGAAGCCAGCUGUCAUGUCAUGAGUUUGUUCAAGCAGCCCCUCUGCAAAACACAGGUGGUAAGGAACUGAGGUCUCUUUGCAACAGACGUUACUAACUGGCCAACAAUAUAAACAAACAUAAAAGUAAAUCCUGCAGCCCCAGUCAGACCCAAAGAUGGCUGCAGCCUUUCUCAAAAUCUUGACUGCAAACUGAGAAGAAGUCUUGAGCCAGAACCACUCAGCUAA
Molecule: non-coding RNA, 606 nt
Organism: Manis javanica (Malayan pangolin)
Lineage: Eukaryota; Metazoa; Chordata; Mammalia; Pholidota; Manidae
Source: RefSeq, a predicted model, not a curated record